GGAAAUGUUGCUUAGUGGUAGAGUGCUUGCCUAGCAUGCAUGAAGCCCUGGGUUCAAUUCCUCAAUACCA
Dipodomys ordii (Ord's kangaroo rat) is the source of this 70-nucleotide non-coding RNA. The record is from Rfam. Lineage: Eukaryota; Metazoa; Chordata; Mammalia; Rodentia; Heteromyidae.